ACUUGUACCAUGUGCAUUGUAGCUUGCCCCUGUUGUUUUAUCCACUAAUAAAUCUCCAGGAUAGCCUGGGUAAGCGCCCUUCGCGUAGACACCAGGGCAAGCAGAUGCAGCUUCUAAUGGUGCAUCUGCUUCGCCCUGGUAGUAACCGUUUCCAAAUGGAUUUGUAGCGGUUCCAGCUAAUAAGCUAGCUAAGUUAAUCACCAUACCGUCAGCACCCACAUCGUUGUUUGGUGCACCCAAUGGUGGGGUCUGUGGUCCGUAGAUGGGCUGGUGGAAUGGCCAGGCGCAGUAGCCGGGACACAGAGUCUCUGAGUUACCCACCCAAAUAUAAGCAAAUUUAUAAGUUUUUCCCUUAAUCACAGCACCCUUAGAAGCCCCAUGAGUUCCACACCGAUUGACACAGAACCCAUCAACCGCAACAUCAGAGGCGGUCAAUACAACAUUAAUGGCGUCUUUCUGUUCACCCUUUGAUGCCAAUUGCACGAUUUGCUUCUGGGUUAGUGAUUUUCCUAGAGAAUAAUUUUCGACGAGAACCUGUUUGCCCAAAUUGAGCGAAAGGGUGUUGUUAGAAUUAGCGAGAUGGUAGUAUUUUUCAGUGGUUUUCCACCAUUGUGCUACGGAUGGAUUGGUUUUAGAUGGAUUUGAAGAAGAAAGGGAGUUGAUGAAGUCAGAUAGAAUAGCUCUUUGGGAUGGCUUGAAUUUGCCAUACCAUAUCAAAUUGACAGAUAUUUUACCAGAAAGAAGUGCACCCUUGUGGUAGUGCAAGAGCUGAGUUUGUUCUACUAAUGCAGUUAGCUUUCUUGAAGCAAAACACACAUUGAAGAAAGAAAUCAAUAGAAAAAGUGAUAAAAUGACACCUGAAGAAGACAUUUUAGCCUGUUUUGGGAUUUAAUUUGGAUAGAAUGUAGGAAAAGAGAAGCCGAAUAUAUAAGAGAGAAAAGGUGUUACUAUUGGGAAGGUGCUUAGAAAAGAAAUUGAUAAUAAGUUCAACUAAAAACGCGUUGGCAUUUUAAUUGUUAUAAUUGGGCAAAACAGAGCAAUGUACAUAUACCAACUUGUCUUUUCUAAAAACAAAAGCUAUAUCUCCCUCCCCCAUCUAAACCUAUUACAGGAUUGCAACCUAAUUUUUGCCUCCUCAUACAUGCUCUGUCAAGUUAGUAUUGGCUUACGCCUCUUUACUCAGAGCGUCAUAUCCAUAUCUAUUAAUGCAUAAUGGAGUACAUAGCUGCCACUUUAUACAGAUCCACUCCAAAUUCAUCAAAAUUUCUGUUGUAAAUGGAAAAAAACAGCAGUAUUUGAUGAACUACAAUUGCAAAAAAAGACAUGUUCGAGUGUUAAAUAAUUUGGGGAGUACAUGAAAUAUUGCUCCUUACUAUUCCCUCUAUCUCUAUUUGUGCAGCAAUUUUCUAGACUUUCUAAUUUCGACCUUGACAUUGGACAUACAUGAGAUCUUUAUAAGAUUUGAGUAAAAUUUGAAAUUUAUCGAAAAAGUAUCUCAAGUCACAAUGAUUAGCACUUCAAAAAUAUUUCUAAAACAUGGUCAAAGAAUGUUUCAUUUUACUUUCAAAAUUUGAACGUUAGAUACUUAUAAAUUGGGACAAAGAGCUUUAUUUAUUUUGAAGUUCAUUUCAGUAUUUUUUUUUUCUUCUUCAUAUUGUCAGGACACGCCACUUCUCCAUUAGAAUCACAGAGCUUUAGUGAAAUUCUAAAUCCGUAACUCUUGGUUCUUUUUGUAUACAAACUACACAUGUAAUUUCUAAAAAUAAAUUACAUCCUAUCAGCACCAGGUUAAUUCAGUGUAAGGGGUUCUUUUUUUUUUAUUAUUAUUAUGCUGAAUAGUAAAAGAAUUAUUAUUAGUAUUUAAAUACAACACAACAUUCCUCCCAGCUUGUUUAUCAUUGAGCAUUAUUGAUAUUCAUAAUGGUUGUCAACUGGCCAUGACAUCCAAGCCCUACCAAAGAACAAAACAAAACAAGUUAGAUAUGCCUGAUUUCUAGUUAUAUCAACCCUCUUGUCUUAUGCAAUUUGUGUUGAUCCAUUUAUUAAAUAAAAGUUGGAGACAUGCCAGCUAUCUAUUUUGUUCUUCUGCCUAGUCGAAACAGGAAAAAGAGCCACUAAAUUAUUGGCUUCUCAAUUAGUCUAACAUAUAAUUGGUGAGCUAACAAUUUGCUUAGCCUCAACUAACCCUUCCCUAAUUGAUCUGAAUUCCCACGAUAGUCGUCAAACUGUAGAGGCAAAAUUUGCACAAUGAUGGAUUAUGGAACAAGGCCUAUACACGGAACGUAAGUGAGAACAAUAUUGAAAUGACAGAUGAUGCAAAGUAAGAAUUGUUAUUCAUGUCUCGUCCAACACCACGUAAAAUAAGAUAUUGUUCGAUGAAAAUAGGCCUUAGCCAAGCAUGACUUACAAAUGUAUGAACGGCAGAAGCACAAGUUAUACUCAUCAAACGGAGGCUAACAUAUGGGAGAUAUAAUGCUUAUUAUAAAGUUAACUUGUAUUAGGUGUUAAUAAAAAAUUUUACUAUCAUCUUUCAUUCCGAUUUAAGAAUAAACUAUUCAUUAUGGUUAUAAAGCUAAGGCCUUAGGAGAGGUCUGAAGAUUAUUGAUGAUAGCAAAGAGUUACUCUCCUUGUUUGCCUUGGUAUUUUGUUCAAAUUGUAGAAAAACAUAUUAUCACGACUUUAGAGAAUGCAUAUCUUGAUAUAUUCUGUGAGCAAGUUAAAAUGCAUACGCGAUUAGCAAAGUUGAUAAAAGAAAAGUAAGUUUCUCAUAUAUUAUCGAAUGAACGAAUCAAUAAAUCAUAUAUUACAAAGCUAUGUUCGAUUAUAGUAUAUCCUAUUUUGUAAAUACUGCUUCUCUCUAGACUAGAGUUGAACAUGAAGAUGUAGCAGGAUCAUAUAGAGCAGGAACCAAGUAUUUCCUUCCGUUUGUACCAUGUGCAUUGUAGCUUGCCCCUGUUGUUUUGUCCACCAAUAAAUCUCCGGGAUAGCCUGGGUAUGCGCCCUUAGCGUACACACCAGGGCAAGCAGAUGCAGCUUCCAAUGGCGCAUCUGCUUCACCCUGGUAGUAUCCAUUUCCAAAUGGGUUUGUGGCAGUUCCAGCUAAUAAGCUAGCUAGGUUAAUCACCAUACCGUCAACACCCACAUCGUUGUUUGGUGCACCCAAUGGUGGGGUCUGUGGUCCAUAGAUGGGCUGGUGGAAUGGCCAGGCACAGUAUCCAGGGCACAGAGUUUCUGAGUUACCCACCCAAAUAUAAGUAAAUUUGUGAGUUUUGCCUUCAAUAAUAGCACCCUUAGAAGCUCCAUGAGUUCCACACCGAUUGACACAGAACCCAUCAACGGCGACAUCUGAGGCGGUCAAUACAACAUUAAUGGCGUCUCUCUGUUCACCCUUUGAUGCCAAUUGCACGAUUUGCUUCUGGGUUAGUGCUUUUCCUAGAGAAUAAUUUUCGAUGAGAACCUGUUUGCCCAAAUUAAGGGAAAGGGUGUUGUUAGAAUUAGCGAGAUGGUAGUAUUUUUCGGUGGUUUUCCACCAUUGUGCUACUGAUGGAUUGGUUUUAGAUGGAUUUGAAGAAGAAAGGGAGUUGAUGAAAUCGGAUACAAUAGCUCUUUGGGAUGGCUUGAAUUUACCAUACCAAAUCAGAUUAACAGAGACUUUUCCAGAAAGAAGUGCACCCUUGUGGUACUUCAAAAGCUGCAUUUGUGAGUCUUGUACUAAAGCAGUGAGCUUUCUGGAAGCAAAGCACACAUUAAAGAAGGAAAUAACAAGAAAAAGUUUCAAAAUGAAAUGGGUCAAAUUGGAAGACAUAUUUUAUAUUUAUUUGUAAAGAGAAGCUCUAAGUAAUUAAUGGAAAUUUGAGUGUGCAAGUAGUUUGGGUGUUGGAGAAGAGAGGCAGAUUAUAUAUAGCGCAAUGGAAUGAGUGCGUUUUGCUUGUUACGAAGGUGCGAAGAAGGGAGAAAAGUUGACUUUAAAAUAAAACGCGUUUGGCAUUAACUUGUAAUAGCUGUGGAACAUAAGGAAGGAAGAUCAAUAACUUUAGUGCCAACUAAAUGCGGUUUCUAUGAGCAUAAAUAUUUGUAAUUUUUUUCCUUUCACGUCUUUCUUCAAGGUCCACACCUAAUUUGUGCUUAAAGCACCAACAAACCUUAGUUUUUUUUUGCAUUUUUUUCCUUUGAUAAGACUGGCUCCGUCGACUUCCAACUAUGUAACCAUGGAUCUCCAAUAAUAACAUGCAAGAUACGAACAAAAUACAGAGAGUGCUAAAAUAGUGCUCGUUCAAAUGGACAUGAUAAACACAUCUCAAGAUGUUACAUUUGGUACAAUGGCCACAUACGUAUUAUUGACUUCAUUACUGUUGCUUUUGAAAGUCGAAAUAUUUUUAUUAGGAAGAAAUGUGCAAAACAGAGCAAUGUAAAUAUACUAACCCACAUCCACAACAUAACCUAUUACCAACUACUUUAUCCAUCACCUAUUUUAGGUAAUACAUUUUUUUCAUUGUUACAGAUAGUUAAGAGUAGUUAUAAAAUAUUAAAAUUUAAAUUUUGAUUAGGUAAAAUCGAUAAAUCGAACUAUUCACUAUGUUAGUUGGUAAUACUGUAUUGAACUUGUAGUCGAUUAUGUCGCUAAGUCAUGUUAUUGCAUUUAUAUUUUUCUACGUGGAGACACAGUAUAAUAAAACAUCAACAAGUAAAAAGACAUAAAUAAAAAAGUAAAUUAACUCAACUAUAAAAACAUAUGUAUUUGGGUCAUUUAUGUUUAGUAUUUAGCUUUCUCUUAAAAUUUGCACCAAUGAGUUAUGAACUAGUUUAUAUAUGCCCUUCAUUGAGUAACUAAUUUGGUUUUCGUGGAGAUACCUAAUACCAAAUAAUUCUAAUAUCUCAUACCCAAUUCAAACCUAAAUAAUAUAAUUCUAAAAUUUUACUCUCGAAUACCAUACUAAAUAUCGAAUUGCCAAAAAUUUAGAUUCAAUUAGUAAUAUGUAUCCAACCCUACAUAAUUUGUCAAAUGGUGGUGAAUUCGAUGUUACAUACAUGUAGAUUAUGACUUUCUAAUACCUGCCCUGUCUAGUUAAUACUCCUCAAUCCUCAUACCUGCCUUGUGAGUGAAGUAAUUAAUAAAUACUAGGUACGUACUAAAGUCACCAUUAUAUUAAAGAUUCAGGCCCUCACCACUUAAAUUAUGCACCUCUACUCAAAGCGUCGUUUCCAUUAUAGUUACUAACGCGGGGACUCUACGCGUGAGGGAUAAAGAUAAAUAGUUCUGAAUAACAAGUUGACGUCUUGUUUGGUUGUCAAGUUUGAAAUUUGGAAUAGUUUAUCUCACAAUUUAUAUUAUAGUGGUGAAUUAGUUAUUUCAAAUACAAACUCGGUUAAGUUAUCGGAGGAUAAUUAAUUAAGUGAUAACUUUGUUUACAUAGAUUCCCUCCAAGUCUUGAGGCAUUUGGACGAUAUUUCAGUUGAUGUGGGAAAAAAAACUCCAUUUGUCCAACAAUAGUUGUUCACUAUAUUUUUUUUAGUAUGUCCUACAAUACUUAUUCACUUUAUGAAAUUAAUGAAUAAUUUUACUUAGUUUCUAAUUUAUCCUAAUAAUUUAUUAUACUCAUUUUUCUAUAACAUUUUUCAAGACGUUAUAUUUAUUACUUCUUUCGUCCCAUAACAGUCGCCCACUAUUAACUUGACACACCCCUUAAGAAACUAUAAAUAUAAGGGUAAUUUUAACUAUAUCACCUUUUGAAUAUAAUAAAUACAAUAUCUUCAAAAUGUAAUAUGAAAAUUAUUAUAAUUAAUGAUACGAGUAAAUUAGAAACUAAGUAAAAAAUUAAUUAUGAAUUUCGUAAAGUAGACAAGUAUUGUUGGACGAACUAAAUAUAUUCAAAAAGUAAUACACUGAAAUUAUUUUUUAUAUUUAUAGUUUCUUAAAAUAUGUGCGAAGUGAACAAGUUUUAAAAUUGUGAGGAAAAAUAAGAAAUGCACAUUUCGCUAUAUAUUUUCAUGUGCAUUUUUAUCUAAUAAAUUUUCAUGUCCCUGUAAUGGUUGUCACCUCGUAAUGUAUAUACUUCUUCAUCUGCCUACUAAAUCAUGGACAUUCUUCCAAGUCCUAUACAGUGUAUAAAAUGUAAAGCUAAUAAUUUUCUCAGGUGCGCAACUAAUAAGCCUUGGCCUUAUUGAACAUCACUAAUUAAUUAAGCUGAAUUCCCAAAAUAUUGUUGAGUUGCAUUACCUGUCUUUGUCUAAGGAUUCCUAAAUCAAUUGAGCAAGGAAAACAAAAUGACAAGGUAAUAUAGACAUAGCAAAAUAAUUUUAUGGUAUAUUAUUAUAUCUGAAACAAAUGAAUGAAUCAACAAAUUGUAUCUUACAACUCUAUGCUCAACUAUAUUAUAAGUAUCCUAUUAUGUAAAUAUUACUUGUCUCUCUAGACCAAAGUGGAGCAUGAAGAUGUAGCAGGAUCAUACAAAGCAGGAACCAAGUAUUUCCUUCCGUUUGUACCAUGUGCAUUGUAGCUUGCACCUGUUGUUUUAUCAACCAAUAAAUCUCCAGCAUAGCCUGGGUAAGCGCCCUUCGCGUAGACACCGGGGCAAGCAGAUGCAGCUUCCAAUGGCGCAUCUGCUUCACCCUGGUAGUAACCGUUUCCAAAUGGGUUUGUUGCGGUUCCAGCUAAUAAGCUAGCUAAGUUAAUCACCAUACCGUCAACACCCACAUCGUUGUUCGGUGCAACCAAUGGUGGGCUUUGUGGUCCGUAGAUGGGCUGGUGGAAUGGCCAGGCGCAGUAGCCAGGACACAGAGUCUCUGAGUUACCCACCCAAAUAUAAGCAAAUUUGUAAGUUUUGCCCUUAAUAACAGCACCUUUAGAAGAUCCAUGAGUUCCACACCGAUUGACACAGAACCCAUCAACCGCAACAUCAGAGGCGGUCAAUACAACAUUAAUGGCGUCUCUCUGUUCACCCUUUGAUGCCAAUUGCACGAUUUGCUU
RNAcentral lists this long non-coding RNA (6967 nucleotides) under Solanum lycopersicum (tomato). RNAcentral describes it as "long non-coding RNA (SLYC_LNC000095)". The record is from RNAcentral. Lineage: Eukaryota; Viridiplantae; Streptophyta; Magnoliopsida; Solanales; Solanaceae.